RNAcentral lists this long non-coding RNA (1712 nucleotides) under Triticum aestivum (bread wheat). RNAcentral's name for it is "long non-coding RNA (TAES_LNC018469)". The record is from RNAcentral. Lineage: Eukaryota; Viridiplantae; Streptophyta; Magnoliopsida; Poales; Poaceae.
UGAAAAAGAACACACUAUGAUAAUAUUGAGGAGAAUAGCCCAAGCAAAGAGCUAGUCACAUGUGAAUCAAGGCAGUUCUAUAUAAGCAGAAUAUGGAUGAAGUAUUUGUAGUAGGUCACAAAACCACAUCUACAUCUGACAUUUUCAAUCAAAGGGCUAAGACAUGUUCUUCAAAAUAAAAAAACAGCAUACACUAUUUUCCCUUGCCUUCCCCGGAUAUCAUGAUUUCGUUUCUUCUAUGAAGAUAUCCAAAAGGAUAUCGUCGACCUGAUCCACAGAAGAAUUGAAGAAUUAAUAUUAUCAACCAACACAAGGCAAAUAACACUGACAAAAUAUGUAUCAUCUGACAUCCUUUGCGGUGCUAAAAAUAGUAUGUAAGCAGGAUGGGCAUAUUGUGCACAAGCAAUUAGCAUAUAAGCUUAGGCGAGUAUCACCAAUCUAUUAUAUAAUUAAAUUAAAUUAAUUAAUUAAAUUAUAUAUAAUAAAUAAGAGAAUUGGGUUUCUGGUCGUCCGGCGUUUGUGGCAGUUUUGCAGAAAAACCCUUAUCUUUUAGGUAAUUCAACCCGCACUCCUUUUUUAAAGUGAGAAAAGGUUUUGCCCUGGAUUGUAAAAAAACAUGAACAGACAUGAGGACGGACUCUUUCUCUCCCUCGCCUCCAGAUCCCAGCCGCCAGGAGGCUCGUGACCCACGCGACCCUCAAUCCGCUGCCGCGCUGUCCGGCGGACGCCGGCGAUCGCAUCAACCGGCACCACCGUUCCGCUUCAGCCCCUCCUCUCCCCAGCGCGGCCCAACCCUCACCAGCUCUCCCUGCCUUACGAACCAAGUCUUGUGCCUGCCAAUUAAUAGUCCCACUCUGCUCUAUUACAUCAAAUGCAACCAACUUAGAUAUAUUCAUGCAUUACAAGAUCAACAAGCCAACAAAAAGAGGAUGAGAUGUUCAUGUUUACCCUAGAGAAAUAAAGAAAGCGACCUGCCGCAUGUAUUAUAUGCGUCACCAAUCGAAAAUGGGCAGAGAGGAGAGGCGCAUGAAUCCAAAGAAAAGCACCAUGGGUGACAAGCCUAAUAUAAUAGAAAAAAGAUCUCAGCUUAAUUGCCAUUUGAGAUAAUAAUCCUAAAGAAGGAGAGAGAGAGAGAGAGAGAGAGAGAGAGAGAGAGAGAGACGAACUGAAGAUACAGAGAAAAUUGAUGCCCAUAUUAAUUCGUGGUACAGAGACCAGCUCAUGGAAGAGAAAACCAGGGCCCGGGGGCUUUCACCGGAGGUAGCUUCGGCACUCCCACAUCCGUGGCCACCGGCAGAAGAGCAGCACCACCAGACCGCCCCCGUGUGUGCUGGCCGGCCGCCAGAUCUGGCGCAACCGAGCCAAUUGCACACCUGCCCCGCAACCCCGGUUGCCCCAGCCACCCUCCGGGAGGAGGGGCUCCACCACCACCACUGCACGGGAGGAGGCUCCGCCUUGGCCCCAGUGCGCCGACGAGCAGGCCACCGCCGCCCCAGCCGUAGCCAGAAAGCACACCGAUGCUGGCAGCUGGGAUGUGGCUCUGGCCAGCCACCGUUGCCAAGAACAGGAGAGCAACACUUGGGUGGUGAGGUGGAUGGAGAAGAGGAGAGGAAGAGGAGGAGCAACGAUGGGUGGUCAGGCAGCAGGAGGAAGAUGGUGGCGGAACGGCGCUUGGGUGAUGAGGAAUGGCGAUGUGUUGUGGAUAAGAAGGC